GAUGAACGCUGGCGGCGUGCCUAAUACAUGCAAGUCGAGCGAACAGACGAGGAGCUUGCUCCUCUGACGUUAGCGGCGGACGGGUGAGUAACACGUGGAUAACCUACCUAUAAGACUGGGAUAACUUCGGGAAACCGGAGCUAAUACCGGAUAAUAUAUUGAACCGCAUGGUUCAAUAGUGAAAGACGGUUUUGCUGUCACUUAUAGAUGGAUCCGCGCCGCAUUAGCUAGUUGGUAAGGUAACGGCUUACCAAGGCAACGAUGCGUAGCCGACCUGAGAGGGUGAUCGGCCACACUGGAACUGAGACACGGACCAGACUCCUACGGGAGGCAGCAGUAGGGAAUCUUCCGCAAUGGGCGAAAGCCUGACGGAGCAACGCCGCGUGAGUGAUGAAGGUCUUCGGAUCGUAAAACUCUGUUAUUAGGGAAGAACAAAUGUGUAAGUAACUAUGCACGUCUUGACGGUACCUAAUCAGAAAGCAACGGCUAACUACGUG
RNAcentral lists this ribosomal RNA (497 nucleotides) under uncultured bacterium. RNAcentral's name for it is "partial 16S ribosomal RNA". It matches the Rfam family "Bacterial small subunit ribosomal RNA", at positions 28 to 507 of the family's 1533-position model. The record is from RNAcentral.